AGUGAACGCUGGCGGUAGGCCUAACACAUGCAAGUCGAACGGCAGCACAGUAAGAGCUUGCUCUUACGGGUGGCGAGUGGCGGACGGGUGAGGAAUACAUCGGAAUCUACUUUUUCGUGGGGGAUAACGUAGGGAAACUUACGCUAAUACCGCAUACGACCUACGGGUGAAAGCAGGGGAUCUUCGGACCUUGCGCGAUUGAAUGAGCCGAUGUCGGAUUAGCUAGUUGGCGGGGUAAAGGCCCACCAAGGCGACGAUCCGUAGCUGGUCUGAGAGGAUGGGCAGCCAAACUGGAACUGAGACACGGUCCAGACUCCUACGGGAGGCAGCAGUGGGGAAUAUUGGACAAUGGGCGCAAGCCUGAUCCAGCCAUACCGCGUGGGUGAAGAAGGCCUUCGGGUUGUAAAGCCCUUUUGUUGGGAAAGAAAAGCAGCAGGUUAAUACCCCGCUGUUCUGACGGUACCCAAAGAAUAAGCACCGGCUAACUUCGUG
This 492-nucleotide ribosomal RNA is filed under the name uncultured bacterium. RNAcentral describes it as "partial 16S ribosomal RNA". It matches the Rfam family "Bacterial small subunit ribosomal RNA", at positions 29 to 507 of the family's 1533-position model. The record is from RNAcentral.